GGAAGUAAAAGUCGUAACAAGGUUUCCGUAGGAACAAGUCCUUCCGCUGGUAACACUUGCCGAAGCCUUAGCAGCCUGAAAGGGUGCCCCUCGACGACUUGAAAUAAAAUUAGAGGGUCUCAAAUGCUAGUCCACUGUAUAUAGGGUGGGCAACACUGUCAAAUUGCGGGGAACCCCUAAAGACCUUGACACCAAGCGUCUGCUGGAAACAGCGGCGUGGCCGAGCUAAUAGCCCUGGGUAUGGUAAUAGUUCAAGGUAUGAGCCCGAGUGAUCGGGUGAAAUGGGCGAUCUGCAGCCAAGUCCUAAGGUCUCUCUGUAGACUACGGAUGCUGUUCACAGGCCAAAUGGCAGUGGGUGGGAGUAUCAUCUCCUGCUUAAGAUAUGGUCGGUCCCCUUGUGAAAGCUUGGGGGUAAGUUUACCGGAUAAAUUGCUUGUUUUGUGGUUCUCAGAAAUUCUGAGUACUUUUUACGUUCCGUAGGUGAACCUGCGGAAGGAU
This 498-nucleotide ribosomal RNA is filed under the name Glutinoglossum glutinosum. RNAcentral's name for it is "partial 18S ribosomal RNA". The stretch from base 91 to 410 matches the Rfam family "Group I catalytic intron". Rfam says of the family: Group I catalytic introns are large self-splicing ribozymes. They catalyse their own excision from mRNA, tRNA and rRNA precursors in a wide range of organisms. The core secondary structure consists of 9 paired regions (P1-P9). Lineage: Eukaryota; Fungi; Ascomycota; Geoglossomycetes; Geoglossales; Geoglossaceae. The record is from RNAcentral.